UACGAAGGGGGCUAGCGUUGUUCGGAAUUACUGGGCGUAAAGGGCGCGUAGGCGGUUUGAAUCGUCGGAUGUGAAAGGCCUGGGCUCAACCUGGGAACGGCAUCCGAUACGGUCAGACUUGAGUGUGGGAGAGGGAAGUGGAAUUCCUGGUGUAGAGGUGAAAUUCGUAGAUAUCAGGAGGAACACCAGUGGCGAAGGCGGCUUCCUGGACACCAACUGACGCUGAGACGCGAAAGCGUGGGGAGCAAACAGG
Molecule: ribosomal RNA, 253 nt
Filed under: uncultured bacterium
Lineage: Bacteria
Description: partial 16S ribosomal RNA
Rfam family: Bacterial small subunit ribosomal RNA
Source: RNAcentral